CCUACGGGAGGCAGCAGUGGGGAAUAUUGGGCAAUGGAGGCAACUCUGACCCAGCAAUGCCGCGUGAGUGAUGAAGGUAAUUUUAUUGUAAAGCUCUUUUCUUUGGAACGAAUAAAUGACGGUACCAAAGGAAUAAGCCCCGGCUAACUACGUGCCAGCAGCCGCGGUAAUACGUAGGGGGCAAGCGUUAUCCGGAUUUACUGGGUGUAAAGGGAGCGUAGACGGCAAGGCAAGCCAGAAGUGAAAGGGCAGGGCUCAACCCUGUACAUGCUUUUGGAACUGUGGUGCUAGAGUGCAGGAGAGGUAAGUGGAAUUCCUAGUGUAGCGGUGAAAUGCGUAGAUAUUAGGAGGAACACCAGUGGCGAAGGCGGCUUACUGGACUGUAACUGACGUUGAGGCUCGAAAGCGUGGGGAGCAAACAGGAUUAGAUACCCGAGUAGUC
RNAcentral lists this ribosomal RNA (442 nucleotides) under uncultured bacterium. RNAcentral's name for it is "partial 16S ribosomal RNA". It matches the Rfam family "Bacterial small subunit ribosomal RNA", at positions 338 to 795 of the family's 1533-position model. The record is from RNAcentral.